GCCAAGACUAGAGUCAUAUCCUGACACAACUCUUGUCCUGGUGUGCUAGAUUACUCGGAGAGAAUCUACUGGUCUUGAUUCACUGGCAGGGGCAGUCAGUGCUCUCAUUAGUGCCCAGAUCAGAAAUAUAU
Molecule: small nucleolar RNA, 131 nt
Filed under: Cebus imitator (Panamanian white-faced capuchin)
Lineage: Eukaryota; Metazoa; Chordata; Mammalia; Primates; Cebidae
Description: Small nucleolar RNA SNORA3/SNORA45 family (ENSCCAG00000011411.1)
Rfam family: Small nucleolar RNA SNORA3/SNORA45 family
About the family: The members of this family belong to the H/ACA class of snoRNAs which are thought to guide the sites of modification of uridines to pseudouridines. This family includes mouse snoMBI-28 and human homologues ACA3 (SNORA3) and ACA3-2 (SNORA45). Both ACA3 and ACA3-2 share the same host gene.
Source: Rfam by way of RNAcentral